CCCUUAGAUGUUCUGGGCUGCACGCGCGCUACACUGAAGCUAUCAACACGUUUUCCCUCCCUGAGAAGGGCGGGUAACCUUUUGAAUCAGCUUCGUGGUAGGGAUCGGGGCUUGCAAUUGUUCCCCGUGAACCAGGAAUUCCUAGUAGACGCGAGUCAUAAGCUCGCAUCGAUUAAGUCCCUGCCCUUUGUACACACCGCCCGUCGCUACUACCGAUUGAACGUUUUAGUGAGGCCUUUGGACCGACGCAUCUCAGUUUAACCGCUGGUUUGUGUUGGAAAGACUUCCAAACUUGAGCGUUUAGAGGAAGUAAAAGUCGUAACA
Molecule: ribosomal RNA, 324 nt
Filed under: uncultured eukaryote
Lineage: Eukaryota
Description: partial 18S ribosomal RNA
Rfam family: Eukaryotic small subunit ribosomal RNA
Source: RNAcentral